Molecule: non-coding RNA, 26 nt
Filed under: Mus musculus (house mouse)
Lineage: Eukaryota; Metazoa; Chordata; Mammalia; Rodentia; Muridae
Source: RNAcentral
UACGAGUCUGGUGGUGGAAUGGAGGU